Molecule: ribosomal RNA, 410 nt
Filed under: Althepus erectus
Lineage: Eukaryota; Metazoa; Arthropoda; Arachnida; Araneae; Ochyroceratidae
Description: partial 16S ribosomal RNA
Rfam family: Bacterial large subunit ribosomal RNA
Source: RNAcentral
CCUGCUCAAUGAAUAUUAAAUAGCCGCUUUAUUAGUGCUAAGGUAGCAUAAUCACUUGUCUUUUAAUUUAAGAAUAGAAUGAAAGGAUAAACGAGUUAAAAACUUUAUUUAAUUUAAUUUAUUAAACUUAUUUAAAAGUAAAAAAGCUUUUUUAAUUUGAUAAGACGACAAGACCCUUUAGAACUUCACUAAAAGUUUAGCUGGGGUGGCUACAAAUCUUUUUUAUAAAAACUUUUCACCUUAUUUAUAUACCCAAUACAAGUUUAUAAUAAGUUACCUAAGGGAUAACAGUAUAAUAUUAUUACAAAGCACUUAUAAAAAAUAAUGAUUAUAACCUCGAUGUUGAAUUACUUUCCUUUUAAAAGAAAAUUCUUAAAAAGUAAGUCUGUUCGACUUUUAAUAAAGUACAU